Anopheles merus is the source of this 811-nucleotide long non-coding RNA. RefSeq lists it as uncharacterized. The record is from RefSeq and is a predicted model, not a curated record. NCBI's taxonomy places the organism in Eukaryota, Metazoa, Arthropoda, Insecta, Diptera, Culicidae. The transcript is spliced from 3 exons.
CUCCGUUGGAUUACCGCACACUGUCGACGCAGCAUUCACCUAACGCGUAAGCUGGAGCUCUGAAACGAGACGGAACAAAGUGGAAGAACACACUGUGGCCCACACCCCAUGGGACUCUCACAGACACACAGCUUAGGCAAGUAGCUACAGGUGGUUCCUGCACUGUGCCAGCGAAUGGUUCUGCGAACGAUUCCAGCACGCCAAGAACUUCUCCGCUGAGUUCUCGCGCGCGGCGAACAGCGGCGGAAAAGAACCAAUGGUUCUGGUUGAACGGGUUUUCCGGCGGUAAAAGGCUAGAUGAAGCAAUUUCCUUUCGAGGUGAUUCGUUCCCGUGGUCGUGGAGAAGAAGGCAGUAACAUCACCACCCGCUGGCAGUGCGGUGUUGAAAAUGUGAAUUAUAGGGCAAUAAAUCAGUCAUUGCUCUGGUGCCGUGGAGCUUAGCGAAGAGCGCAACAGCAGCAGCAGCAAAAGCGAGAUUCGUGCGUAAUUCGAGGCACCCUGUACGUAAGCCUCUAGGCUUGAUUAGUGGAGUUGAUGGUUCAGUAUGCAAAUUGAUCUCUAUUGAAGCACUUUGCAAACUAUUUGCUAAUAGAAUUCUGCAUCUGUUUCGACGAUUCUAGCUAGCACAGACGUAUUAUAACAGUUGCAUUGCAGUCAGUGCUUUGUUUGUUUAUUGUAAUUAGAGUUGUCGAUGGCGUAUGCUACAACCGGAUGACCUCGCGUCCCUCGCAGUGAAUAAACCAUGGGAAUGAAUUUUCCAAUGCUUAUCGGGGAAUGAAUAUCAAACAGAAUGCCAAUCCGAAUACCAAUC